AUCAUUUUUGGAUACCCCAAUGAACCAGCUGGUUCAGAUUUCUUAUGUUGGUGCGAAAGAGUACAAAUUUAAAAAGAUUUGAACUCAACAAAUUUGACAACGGUUGAGCGAAGCACAAUGAUUGUCAUCAAUGGAUCUGUAUAUCAUUGCGACAGACAUAUUAUCAACAAGGCUUUCCCAAGCGAGACGAUUCCAUGUAGGGUGAUCAAAUGCAUUGUCAAAGGAGAUUCUGUGAUGUCCAUUUCCCAGGAGGAGGAGGAGGAAGAGGAAACAGAGAGCAAUUGAAAACACAUCAAAC
Haliotis rubra (blacklip abalone) is the source of this 298-nucleotide long non-coding RNA. RefSeq lists it as uncharacterized. NCBI's taxonomy places the organism in Eukaryota, Metazoa, Mollusca, Gastropoda, Lepetellida, Haliotidae. The record is from RefSeq and is a predicted model, not a curated record. The transcript has 3 exons.